CCUACGGGAGGCAGCAGUGAGGAAUAUUGGUCAAUGGACGAAAGUCUGAACCAGCCAAGUAGCGUGAAGGAUGACUGCCCUAUGGGUUGUAAACUUCUUUUAUAUGGGAAUAAAAUGUUCCACGUGUGGGAUUUUGUAUGUACCAUAUGAAUAAGGAUCGGCUAACUCCGUGCCAGCAGCCGCGGUAAUACGGAGGAUCCGAGCGUUAUCCGGAUUUAUUGGGUUUAAAGGGAGCGUAGGUGGAUUGUUAAGUCAGUUGUGAAAGUUUGAGGCUCAACCGUAGAAUUGCAGCUGAUACUGGCAGUCUAGAGUAUAGUAGAGGUGGGCGGAAUGCGUGGUGUAGCGGUGAAAUGCUUAGAGAUCACGAAGAACUCCGAUUGCGAAGGCAGCUUAC
RNAcentral lists this ribosomal RNA (394 nucleotides) under uncultured bacterium. RNAcentral describes it as "partial 16S ribosomal RNA". It matches the Rfam family "Bacterial small subunit ribosomal RNA", at positions 338 to 729 of the family's 1533-position model. The record is from RNAcentral.